GCAAAUUAUAGGCAACCAAUCAUAACUCAAAAGAUCAAAGAUUGUUACAAAGGAUCACUACACUCAAAAGUAAAAUGUCCUUUCUCCUAUCUAAUUACAUUCAAUAGCAAAUUUCAAUCAGAAUAUCUUUAGAAGAUCAAAACCAUGUAAUUAAUUAAUUAAUUACACCAUAUUGAAAUAAGUCCAUCCUAGUACAAGCUCACAUUGCAAGGUCACUUUGCAACAGAAGCAAGCCAACAGCCACAGCAGGUUUUACGAGAGGAUUUGAACUUCCUGUUAGCCAAAAAAUGCUUGAAGCAGCAGCAAUGUCAAAAUAAACGAAACAAAAUUCACUGAGAUUCUUUCACGCUAGAGCCUAUUAUAACAAUAAAAGAGUUUGAGUUGCACACAGUUGGCCAUUUACAGUUCAAUCAUUACAGGCCUAUCUAAAAUCAUUGGCCAUUUACAGGCCUCCGAGGUCUCUAGCUUCGUAAUAUUACACAAAAAUCAAUUAAAAUCAAUAAUUCUGUUAAGACUCAACCAGGUUAAACUAUAACCCUAGCCCUAUCUAAAAUCAUUGUACUGUAUACUACCAGCAAUGAUAAUCACCCACUCAAAGUUAAUCCGCUUGAGAUAAAUGCAUUGCCUGUAUCACUCAUGCGGCUACAAAUGCAAAGGAACAAACUGCAAAACAGUAAUGAAUACCAGUCAGUAACUAGUCAGCUUAACUCCAUGCCGUAACUAGGUCAAUUAAUCCAAAUUGACUUGAAGUAACAAGCAUGAGCCCACAAUUCUUGUGCCAGAUUGCCAUAUCAAUCCAACUGCUAAGUGCCAUGCCCAUAUAUCAACAUGAGGUUAGGCUUAGUAAAGUAACGUUGCCAUUCCAUUGUAUUUUUCCUCCUUAAAGAUGGAGAACAAUGUGACUACUACAAAUAGCCAGAUCAGGAAUGGCUAAGCACAGGCAGCUUGUUGCGUUCAGGAAGAGCAGUAUAUGGUAAGCUCAUAAAUGCUAGUUCAGUAAUGAUCCUUCUUGCUUUUCUUUAGUAGCAUUGACAUGUGAUUGACGUAUUCAUGUCCUGUCUGGGUCCCACCCAUCAGCCACUGCAGCGCCUCAACUGCUGCAUCUUUCUCUGCACUCUUCUUAUUAUUGCAAGGUUGCCCCAUAAUUUGCAUUCCAUUAAACUCCACAGUAGCUCGAAAUUGGUUGUUCUUCAACUGCUUUGUCUUGUAAGUUGGUGCAGCAUAUCCAGCCCUGGUUAGCAAUGUUUGGAGCUGAGACUUAGAAUUAUCACCUCCAGGACCACUUUCAGUCCUUGACACUAAGGCUGGCUGUGUUGACAUAACAGAGAUCUUCGAGGGCUUCAGUACUUGAUGGCCAAAUACAAAUUUGCCAUCACAUUUAUCUUCUGAAAGCAGUAAACGUAUGGCACAUAGGAGCUCAUGAUACACGUGUAUAUCCAUCCUGGGAUUCAAAAGUUUGGUCUGAAUCAGUUCAUCAAGUUCUCUCCUCAAGGUUUGAUACAUUUCGGCUAUAGCAGGUUUCAUGAAGAAUUCCAAGUAUCCUCCCAGCAUCUUCAGAUGUCCAUCAAUGUCCCCCUUGGACAUGCUUCCACCAAAUAGAAGCAACACUGAAUCAGAAACAGCUGUUGAAUCCCGAAGGAAAACAGCAUUAACCUUUAUCUUCUCAUUGAAAACCAGCCAUGGAUAAGGAAUUUUAGAUUCCCGAGCAUUGACCGAGUUAGAGUACAGAAGCACUUGUCCAUCCUCCAUGGUUUUCAGAGAAAAUGAUUUUUCAUUAUGCACAACAGAGGAAAGUCCUGGAUAGAGGCCAUAGCAAAUAACUGAUCGAAUGAGAUGCUCUUCAUGGCUCCAUGCAUUGCAGAUGGUAGUGUUGCUAUCAACCAGACCAGCAUCCUUGAGCAAGGUGAAGAACUCUUUCCUAAGAGAAUCAAUUGCUUUCAUAGAUUGCACAGAUAGAAAAUUUUUCCAACAAUAGUCAUACCCUGCAAAAUCUCUCUCAGCAUCUUUCCAGCCCUCAUAGGCCCGGACAAGGGCAAGGUGGUCACUAUAAUCAUUAGAAAAUUGAGAUUUAGCAGCCUCUGCAAGCUGCACAGUAGGAAAUAGAUACAUAAAUUGAUCUUUAGAUUCCAAGCAUACAAACAAGAAGUAAAGGAAUGAGUGCCACAUUACACAUGCACCAGUGAUGCUUCACUGAGAGGGGAAAAAAAAGGCCUAUUCUAGUACUGAAUUGAUAGAAGCUACAGAAAUAACUGAAACGUGUGAUUACAGAACCAGGUUGUACUGCUUAAACAUAAAACUUCAGAAAAAGACAACAGUUAUUUCAAACAACCCAUUUCAACUGGUGGUGCCUUGGCCAGGUUGCUCCAAUACCAGCAGUAAUGCCAUAUCGGAAAGAGUGUUGUUUUAAUAGAUGAAGAUAAAGUAAAUAACAGGAAACCCAAAAGAGGAAGAAAAAGAAUGUUCUAACUUCUAUGUAUGUGAACAUUUGAACUAAUAACAAGCUAGAUUCAUAUGAAUACUUAAUGUAUAGAGAGUGCUCCAGAAGUUGAACUCCAGGAAAUAGCCCUAGAAGCACUCUCCCUCUUGCAAGGAAUGCAAAGUAAAAAUAUUGGACAGACUUCCCUUUCAACCCCUCAACUUCCAUAAUUUUACUAGUGGGGAGGGAAUAAAGUUAUUGAGUUCAAACUUCUGAAUGGAUAUAAGAACAAGUUCACAAAAUCAUCCUUCAAACUCACAGCUUCUUCCAAGGGAAAAAGGUAAAACAAAACCUUACUUUGAGAUGAGCAUAUUACAAUAAACAACAUAUCUAAAAAUUCAGAAGAGCAAACAUGGCUCAACUCAACUAACCUUUAAUCUCAAUCUGAUUGGGAUUGGCUAUAAAGAUCAUUUUUCUCCAUUCUACUUAGUUUUAGGUAUUAUCCAUAUCACAUGGAUGUGAGAGUUUCAUGCCAGUCCUAUGUCCAGGCUUGGGACCAACUAUGUAUGAACCAAUAGUAAUUAUAAUGAUAAUCACUCAGGUGGAGUUGGACAUAAAUGAAAUUAAUUAAGGAAUUAAUUACUGCUUGCUAGGGAAGGGGGAAUGAAUGAGCCAACUGCAUAAAUCGUAACUUUAUAGGAUACAAUUUCUGAACAAGUAUCUAUCUUCAAGAAUUUUUUAGGAAACUGGCAUAUAUGAACCAAAUGAGGCCAUGAAAUACAACGAAAAAAACUACAUUAAAAUUCACCUAGCGAACACAGAUGGGGUGGCUAAAUGCAAAAUGGGGCGUGGAUUGUGGAUUUACGCAUAAAAUUGGCAUUGGAUCUUCUAUGACAGGAUUAUUGGAAAUUAGCAUGGCUUACACUUCCUUGGAGAAUAGGAAUUAGGAAAAUGAUUUUGUAGACAGAUUCUUUUAGAGCUUUAAACCUCAAGAAGGAAGAUGUGGACCCAGAUAAUCCAAAUAUUGACAUUUACAAGCUCAAGAACGUUAUAAGGAAUCAGUGGAAUGUAUGUAUGGAAGAACUGUAUAUGCAGUUGUUAGCAAGUUUUGCCUAAGGUCUAAACACAAGAAUUCAAUAUUUUAACUCCCCACCAGGGUUAGUGGCAGAUAUCAACCUUAGCACCAGUCAGGGGUGUCUUCACCCAGAUUGGUUCAGUGCUAUCACUUGUCAGAGCUCUUAGACCUUCUAACAAACAAAUAGAUAAACAAAAUUACAAACUUCAUCAGAUUAAGUUGACUCUUCUGCUGCUAUCCUUGCUGAAGCAUACAGAGGAUGCAAGCUUCAUCAAGCAACAAAAGAUUGGGAACUGACUUACUUCCUUCUUAUCCAUUGGUGUUAAGAAAGGAUCUCUAACACUAAGGCCAGCAACAACAGUUAAUAUUGGAUCCAGGCAAUUGAAGAUAGCACCUAAUACGAGCAUCUUUCCAAGUUUAGGCUCCAUGGGAAGCAUAGUCAAAUAUCGUCCCAGAACAGUCAAAUUUUCGUUCUCAUCCAAGGCCCCAAUGAUUUUCAAGUAUUCAAUAGCAUUUUGAACCGCCAACAACUCAGGUGACUGCAAGGCCCUUGAGAGAAACUCAGAAAUACUUCUGAGUUUCAAACUUUUGAUUUGCAGACAGAGAGACUGCAAAGGAGUCCUCAAAAUUUCUGGUAACUGAUACUCUGCAAAGGCUUCAUAGACACAUCUAGGAUAAAGAUGGUAACAUUCUCCUGGUUGAACGCGGCCAGCUCUUCCUCUUCUAGCAUUAUAAAAAUUCCACCAUGAACUGAAAGUGAUCUCAUUAAUCCCCAUGGGAGAAAUAUGUGUUGAAUAGGGACAUUAAAUCUCCAUGAGGGGGGGAGGGGAGGAGAGAGAGAGAAGUUAUUCCUCUCUCAUGCUUCUUGCACUUCCUUGAGUUACUAACCUAAAAAUCCAAACUUCUAGCUGGAUUUUCAAUGGCCUCUUUUUUCUUUUCAAUUAUAUCGUCAAACAAUCAACUUGUUUUAAUUUUGGACAGACGGGGAUCCCAAAGUCGGGGGGUGAGCAAAUAGUCCUUACUAGCACUGGUCCUUGCUGAAUCAACACCAGAACCUGUAGACACUGCUGGGAUGCAACCAAACUUGUUGAGCAGACACCUUAGAAAUCCAGGAAGGAAGCAGACAAGGAGUAUUAUUCAGGGCAUCAUAUGAAGUCUCCUUUGCCUUUCCACAGUCAAGUACGAAAACAACAUCAUUAAUUGUGAUGCUCGUCUCAGUAAUAUUAGUAGCUAGCACUAUUUUCCUCACACCAUCUUUGGGCUCAUCAAAUAUUAAUCUCUGCUCUGAGCUAGCCAUAGAACCAUGGCAAGCGAGCAACAACACUUGACUUGGAUCUCCUAAAAUAGGAUGUGAUAGGAGCUUAUCCUUCAGAGAACUUAUGUCAUCCCACCCAGUCAUAAAAACUAGAACAGCACCAGGCCUCUCAUUCUCACAUAUAUUACAUAAAAGAUACUCAAUGAGAUUAAACCCAAUGCAAUCGGGAUUCCAACAAGACAAAGACUCUCGAGUUUGGGAACCAUACUCCUUGAAAUCAGCAGCUCUUAGUGCUUCCUCAACAGCAGAAGCAAUUUGGCUCUUCCUCUUUCUUGGAGCUUGUUUACUUGUCCUCCACACCCUUUCUUGGCCAUAAUCAUCAAUUUGGUUGUAUAAGGUUAAUUUGUAACCGGUCAUUUCCAGGAUAUUUUCCAGAAAAUGAGUUCGCACUGGGUAUGUAAAACCUGGAAUGCGAAGUAUUCGAGCUCCACCAAAGUAGGAUGAGAAAAGCUCUGCAUCAAGGGUUGCACUCAUCAGAAUCAGCCUCAGUUCUGGCCGACGGGGAAGGAGAUCUUUAAUGACAAUAAGCAGAAAGUCCUCAUUCAUUCCACGUUCGUGAAUCUCAUCCACAAUAACAUGAGUUAUGCCCUUCAAAUUUCUAUCAACAAGCAAUCUCCUCAACAAGAUGCCUGUGGUGCAAAACAGAAGGUGGGUAUCUCUUCCUUUUAUACCUUCAAGCCGAACUUUAUAUCCAACACAUUCACCCAAUUUCUCCCCCCUUUCUGAAGCAACUCUUUCAGAAACAGACAUAGCAGAUAUUCGUCUUGGCUGUGUACAUAUAAUACUACAACCAGCUCCUUGGACAGAUUCUAUCUCUGAUUCUAAUAUGAACUGGGGAAUUUGUGUGGUCUUGCCACAGCCAGUUUCACCUGAGAUAAUGACCACCUGAUUUUGUGAAAUGGCAGUCAAUAUUGCAUCUUUCUCUUUAUAGGCAGGAAGACUUUUCCGAAAUUCCAGCAUUUUUCUGCCUUCUGGAGAAUCCUGCCAAGCAUGCUGCUGAUCCCGCAGUUGCAAACUUCUCUGCCAUAGAAUUUUCUCCAUUGCAGCCUUGCUGGAAGCCGGUAGCUUUGGUUGCUCAAAAAGCCCUUCGUCAGUAGCUAGAAUACUGCUGCUGCUUGAUCUAGAAAAGGAAAUAUCUGGAAAUCUUUCCUUAGUCUUGGACUUCUGAAAGAGGUAUUCUCCAAGAUAGUAAUCAACUCUUCUUUGCAAACCAAAAGGUAAGCUCACCUGCCAAUUUUUUAAAUAUUCAAUAAAAUGCCAAUGAAUAAUAUACAAGAAAGUUACUCAAGUUGGACAUGUGGGAAAUAAGCAUACGCUUACCAACCCAGGGGGACAAAGAAUUUUUAAGUACAUGCUAAAAAAUGAACAAAAGAAACCUGUAAUAAAACAGCCUUUGAAAACACGCAUGUGUUUAAUAAUGGAAUUCAAAUAAUAAAUCUAAAUGAAAUUUAAGAGCUUGGAAUUUGUUGAAGCAUAAAAUAAUAUUGUCAAGUAAAGAGGUGGAACAGCUUAGCCAACAAAAAAGAGGUGGAAUAGUAGGAGAAGGCAGUCUCUGCAGGGAAAACAAAAACAUAAAUAAAUGUGUCUGAGAUAGAUAUACCAAGCUCGUGAAGUUAAUGGAAGGCAUUACUUUGGUGUAUGACCAAAUUUUUAUCUGCCAGAAGCAAAAAUUUUAAACAAUGGAACUAGGAGAAAAUACCUCCCUCUGCGGACGCUUAUCAUCCAAAUCAAAUCUGUAGUUUGGCAGUGGGACCUUACUAAUUACAACAACUUUUACAUAUAGAUGGCUGCAAAAAUAAUUUCAGUUGAGAUCAUCAGAGGAAACCAAAAGAUUAGAGCAUCUAUUCUGAUGAAUCACAAGAUACCUAUACAAACCCAUUCUGCUUGCCAUAGUUGCUAUUUGCUCAAAAUCACGUCUGUCCUUUUUUUCCCUUGAGACCAACUCUUGCUUCUCCUUGUCUCGCAAAAGCAAGGUUAGCUUCUGCCUCCACUCUUCAAUGUUAUUAGAAAGGGAAGCCCCAGCCGGGACCAUCGAGCAUUCCACCUCACGAUCGGAUCCUUCGUCAGAGAUCCCAUCGUCGUAGGCAGAAAUGAACCUAUGAUUAUUAUUAUCAUUAUUAUUCUUAUUAUUAUUAAAAUGAUUACUAUCAACAGCACUGUUCCUCCGCUGCUGCACUUGCUGCUGGUGGAAAUAAGGUACAGGAGAGCUGUGUAUAGGGCUUAAAGCGGAGCUUCGAUUUUUAGAGACUUUAGAGUCAAUCGGAGAAGCAGCGGCAACGGAGGAGGAGCUAUAACUCGGCGGGGUGAUGACGGAGCGCAGACGUUGGUGUGGAGGAACAUAAACAGCACCGUACGAGGAACGUGGCCGGUCCUUCAUUGCUAUAGUAGUGGAAGAGGUGGGGCAGUGGAAGAGUGAGGGUUGAAGGGUUCUGGGAUGUGAAGUGAAAGGAAUUUGCAGAGAAGGCGAAUUUAGAAGAAGAGAAUGAGAAGGGGGAGGAGGGAGCAUGCGAGAUGAAACGACGGUGUCGUUUUCUCGUAUUUUGGUAGAAAUUCGGUCGCCAAUCGCUGUAGUUACUGGCGCUGUUGAGUUUUGGGCAACUGAGGACUCAGAAACGGUGGUCUUUAUCUUUGCUCCUG
RNAcentral lists this unclassified non-coding RNA (7443 nucleotides) under Hevea brasiliensis (rubber tree). The record is from RNAcentral. Lineage: Eukaryota; Viridiplantae; Streptophyta; Magnoliopsida; Malpighiales; Euphorbiaceae.